CACCGGGCUUGUACCGGUACAGAGCCGCUGAACCCCGCAACCUGAGCCUCGGGUUGGGAUUUUUGUGGGUCUUGUACCGAUACAGGGGCCCAUGUACCGGUACAAGGAGGCUGAUUUCGUGCAGUUUGAACUGCAGGGGUGUUUUUGCAAUUGUGGACUUCUUAUUUGAACCCCCACGCCCUAGGGGCUUCUCCUGAGCUUGGGACCAGCAAGAGGAGAGGUAAGGGAGCCCUCCACACUCUCCCAUUUGAUUCCCUUGAUUUUUAUUUGGAUUUAGAGAGAUUAAAACCUCUCUUUUUGCUCCUUUUUGGGUGUUGGAGGCUUUUCCACCAUUGGAGCUUGGGAUUGGAGCUUAAGAGGGGGAAGAUCUCUACACUUGGUGGACUUGGAACCUUGAUUGAAGCUUCUAAGAGGUUAGUAACCCCUUCUCUCCCUCUAGAUCUAACUUUUAGAGGUUUCUUUAAGAUGAAACCAUAGAGUGAGGUUUUAGGGUUUAUUUUGGGCAUUUUCGUUUUAGGGCUUUUGGAGCUCAAUUGGUUGGAUUAGAACGUUCCUCUAGGCUAGAUUGGAAGGGUUCUAGCUCUCUUUUGGAGCUUUGGAAGA
RNAcentral lists this long non-coding RNA (603 nucleotides) under Ananas comosus (pineapple). RNAcentral describes it as "long non-coding RNA (ACOM_LNC005710)". Lineage: Eukaryota; Viridiplantae; Streptophyta; Magnoliopsida; Poales; Bromeliaceae. The record is from RNAcentral.